UCUUGGAUGUAAAUCGACCGGAGUACUAUGAAUGUUGUAAAUUUAAAACUCAAAGAACUUGGCGGUGUUUUAGACCACUCAGGGGAACCUGUCUCGUAAUCGACAAUCCACGUUAUACCUGACCUUUCUUUGUUUUCAGUUUGUAUACCGUUGUCGUCAGGUAACUUUUUAGAAUAUAGAAGUUGGCUAGAAAAAAUGAUUUAGUACGUCAAAUCAAGGUGCAGCUAACAGAAAGGGGAGGAUGGGUUACAAUUAUAAUUUAUAAUUACGGAAGGAGGACUUGAAAGUAAAUUAGAUAAAAAUAAAUUUGAAUAAGGCUCUGAAACGUGU
RNAcentral lists this ribosomal RNA (330 nucleotides) under Terebra triseriata. RNAcentral describes it as "Cinguloterebra triseriata partial 12S ribosomal RNA". Lineage: Eukaryota; Metazoa; Mollusca; Gastropoda; Neogastropoda; Terebridae. The record is from RNAcentral.